RNAcentral lists this long non-coding RNA (598 nucleotides) under Carassius auratus (goldfish). RNAcentral's name for it is "lncRNA (ENSCARG00000000362.1)". Lineage: Eukaryota; Metazoa; Chordata; Actinopteri; Cypriniformes; Cyprinidae. The record is from RNAcentral.
CACGUUCAAGAAGUCUCAUUCAGCACACAUCGCGAUACUUGCUAUCAGUUCCACAGUUUGGGUCUAAAAUAUCAAGCUCAACAGCUCACUCAAGAGCCAACCCUCACAAACCUUCCUAAAAAACUAAAAGAGCUAUUUCUGAGUCUCAGCGAAUCUUGCCAUGAUCAGCUCUUCCCAGGUACAUUUGUUUAGAAUAUUUUUUUUUAAUCAACAUUUACUCCUCAAAUGCUCUGGUCUGAAUCUUACUUUAAAUUAACUUAAUUAUGUUUAAUGAGCAAUAUUAAUUGCACACAGAGUAAGUAGAGAUUAUCUUGUUUCACAGAAGAGAAGGAAGACCAAGGAAAUGAUUUGCUCAGGAUGAGGAAUGAAGAUGGCCAUCUUGUGCUCAAACAAACAGAAGUCCUCUGAUGAUCUCAUCAGCCAAAUGAGGGGUUUUGACCAAGUGAUGCUCUUGAAGGGAGUGAAAGAAGAGGAUGUGGUAAAUUGUCUUCAGAGAAAAAGCUUCUCAAAAGGUCUUAAAGCAGCUUGAAGAAUGGUCUGGGAUCUUAGGACUGAGAGAUCCUCUGGGCUGAGAACAAGCUACACCACAUCAGUGCUG